UGGCGGGCAAUUUUUUUUUCUGAAACUAUUCACGUGGGUAUGAGGAAGUGGAAUAUCUCUGCAACAGUUCAUCAAGUGCCGGAGAUGCGAUAUACUUCAAAAUUUGCGGGCUAUGUUUUGUACUGUACCUUUUGUUUUAUGCUCUAAUAAGCACAUCACCUCUACAAUUAUUUUUGUGUAAUCUAACGUAUGCAGGAAAUCAUGAGUAUCCAUUAUUAUGCCAAUUAAUCGUGUAUGUAUAUUAUGUACCCAUUAUGUAUGCUGUUUUUUUUUUGUGUGAUGCCCCCUUACCCAAUGCCUCUCACGAGGCCUGUAGGGACUUUUUAAAUAAAUAAAAUAAAUACAUUUUCAACAUCUCAUUCCCCCACCUAAAUAAGGGCAAUUGGACAUCCAACUGUUCAAGCUUAGAAUACAGGAAAACACACUUCAAUUCCUUAAGUUAUACUUCGUACUAAUUUAAUUUAUCGCUCGACCCAUCUUCAUAUCAACCAGACCCUCACUUGUCACCAUUGGCGGGAUGCUAUAACACUGCACUUUGCAUGAACCAGCACAUGUUUUCAUUCUCCAUACUAUAACAGAAUGGAAUCGUGUACGAUCAGGUCACAAUCUUGCAUUAAUAAUUGUCUGUUUUUCAUUGUAUUAUCCUUCAUUGUCUCGCUUGUUGCCAUUGCAUGUAUUUGUAGCCCUCCCUGCUAGAACCAUGUGUCCGCAGAAUUAAUAAAAAUUAAAUGAACACAUACAAGCAAGAGAGAAGUUCCCUAGAAUGUCCCUGGAACCAACUAAUGUUUCAACAAGGAAAUUUGUCUUCAUCAGGGCCCCUUGUCUGCCUUGAAACAGACAAGCCCACUCGUCGAUAUGUUGACUCCAGCAAGAAGUAUGCUGACAGAGGUGGCCUGUACUGAGGCUACCUGCUUAUUAAUCCUCUGAGCAAAAAUUAUUUUUGCUCAAGAGCACCAUUCACCAGAAAGCACAUAGGCUUGGGGGCUGAAGCGACAACCCUGACACCAGCCCUCGUUGCAAUUCUUAAAAUUGUGAGUGAGCUCAUGCAUGUACGGCACGACUGCAACCUUUUAUACAUAUGUUCUUGCAUAAGGAUUAAGUACAUUAACCUUUCCUAAUUCAAUGAUUCAGGUGGGAUUCAUUAUGUUUUGCAAGAAGUAUUCAACACUGAAAAAUAUAAACAACAUACCAUUUUCAGGAAUGUGGGUGUCGCCAAUGCUUAUUACAUAAUUUGUUGGCUUUAUCAUGUAGAUAAAUACAGCUCUUGAAAUUCCACAAAUGUUCGUGUGUCACAUCAUGCUGAGGUUGGGCCCCUGCACUGUAAUUUUGGAGCCUGCUGCUUAAUGCAUAUAACGUGCCUUGAGUAUUACAAUAAUGGUCUUCGUCUAAUCUGUGGCCAUAUUUCACACCAUUAUGAGUGUGAAUUAAAAUAUCUGAAGAACCAUGUGUUGCUUACAACACAUUUGAGUUUUUGGCAGUUUAUGAGAAAACCGUUUAAUUCAUUGCAAAGACUAUACAGUGGCAAUUUUUACAAUUUUUCCUUGACUCUUGUUCAGAGGCACGUAAUAUAGUUCUCACUUCAUUAAAAAAAAAUUCAGACUGGAAGCAGUUAAUGCAGACAGCCUCAUAUUUGUGGCAUGCAAUGCCAGCGUAUUGCAUGAAAAAAAAUUUAGAAAGUCAUCACAGCCAUCUGGAUAAUGCUCAUAAAAAUAUUCAUGCACUGAGCAAUGUGCAUGGUUUGGUUAGUCAGUGCUGAAACCAGCCCAAACCUAAGCACCUCGAUAUGCCCAACCACAAGCUCGUGAAAGUUAACCUAUUCUACCCUUCGUAGCCAUUGAGCCGUUGCAGGGGCCUCAGGUUUCGAGCACGGCAACAUGUAACUUGCUGAUUCAUGCCUGUGCCUUCCUGGGAAAACAAUCGCCUAGUGGUUCGUGAACUGGAACGUAAAGGCAAAGGAAAUGCCUAUUGAAGCAGUGGCUCCUAAGAAAGCAUGUGUCACUAUCCAAAUAAGAAACAGCAAUGAAGAAAAAUGUUACGAAAAGAUCUCAUCAAACUAACUCGGAACAUCAAAAAUUGACCAACACUGCCAAGCCUGCCUGCCGGAAAAUGUCUUGCAGCAUUUGAAUGGAACUUUCAUAAAUGCCAUUCUGACUCUGCCAUUCUUCUGACUACUACUAUGGUUUCCAGGAAAAAUGGCCAUCCUGGUAACUCAAGAGGUCAGGACAACACCAUUGUAGCACAGUUUCACGCUAGUACGCUGUCUUUCACUUACGCUGUCUGACAUCAACAAUUAAGUCAUCUGGCAGUGAGCAUUUUCCAUAGGACAUGUUAGCAGCCAUAGUAUUUGGUGAGGCCUUUAAACAGACUAAGAAGUGUGGAAAAGAGUUGGAGGCGAAAGCAGUCCUUUUGAUCAAGUAUUUAACUGAGCUUUCAACUCUGCAUGGCAUGUGUAUUAUGUCCUCGUCAUAUCUAAAUUUGUACUGGGUGAACAGUGUACUUCCAACGGAGAACUCGGAUCAAAAUGACACAGUGGCUUGAUGAGGCAA
Dermacentor silvarum is the source of this 2546-nucleotide long non-coding RNA. RefSeq lists it as uncharacterized. Lineage: Eukaryota; Metazoa; Arthropoda; Arachnida; Ixodida; Ixodidae. The transcript has 3 exons. The record is from RefSeq and is a predicted model, not a curated record.